GUAAAUGUAGUAUAAUAAAAAAUACUUUUCGCUUACAACGAAAGAACCUAUUUGCGUUUACU
This 62-nucleotide transfer RNA is filed under the name Polygyra cereolus. RNAcentral describes it as "tRNA-Val". RNAcentral also lists the same sequence under 1 other name. Lineage: Eukaryota; Metazoa; Mollusca; Gastropoda; Stylommatophora; Polygyridae. The record is from RNAcentral.